RNAcentral lists this ribosomal RNA (253 nucleotides) under uncultured bacterium. RNAcentral describes it as "partial 16S ribosomal RNA". It matches the Rfam family "Bacterial small subunit ribosomal RNA", at positions 524 to 776 of the family's 1533-position model. The record is from RNAcentral.
UACGGAGGGGGCUAGCGUUGUUCGGAAUUACUGGGCGUAAAGCGUACGUAGGCGGCUUUGUAAGUUAGAGGUGAAAGCCUGGUGCUCAACACCAGAACUGCCUUUAAGACUGCAUCGCUUGAAUCGCGGAGAGGUGAGUGGAAUUCCGAGUGUAGAGGUGAAAUUCGUAGAUAUUCGGAAGAACACCAGUGGCGAAGGCGGCUCACUGGACGCGUAUUGACGCUGAGGUACGAAAGCGUGGGGAGCAAACAGG